RNAcentral lists this unclassified non-coding RNA (456 nucleotides) under Arabidopsis thaliana (thale cress). The record is from RNAcentral. Lineage: Eukaryota; Viridiplantae; Streptophyta; Magnoliopsida; Brassicales; Brassicaceae.
UUGUGGAUUCCAGCAUUUUUCUAGUUUUUUAUAGAUUUAGAUGUCGUCAAAGUCAAUCGCUCUCCCAUAAAAUUCGAUUAUUUCGCUGGCUCUUCAAUGACAUGAAACCUACUGCUGAACUCACCAUUGAUGCUCAAUUGCUUCUCCAUCUCCUCAACCAAAAUUUUGAUUCAGAUCCAGCGUCGUUGAUCUUCUUCUUUGACGAAGCAUGCGAUUAUCAUCCAUACCUUUUCUGAAUUUUAAUUUCUCGAUGUAAAUCAGAAUUCUAUCAUCUCUCGUUUUAUUUUUAAAGAGAAAGAAGGAAAAUCAUUAAAAUCUUAAUAGAUUUGAUUAUUUUAAAAGCGUUUAUGUAUCCAUUUAGGGUGUAGCUUUCUUCCAUUAAAAACAGUUAUUUGAUUCUAUUGGGUUGAUUAGAACAAGGUUGUUGGUGUAGAGAUGUUUGUGAGGUCAUUGAAG